This 59-nucleotide transfer RNA is filed under the name Acidimicrobiaceae bacterium. RNAcentral's name for it is "tRNA-Arg". It matches the Rfam family "tRNA", at positions 8 to 62 of the family's 71-position model. From Rfam's summary of the family: Transfer RNA (tRNA) molecules are approximately 80 nucleotides in length. Their secondary structure includes four short double-helical elements and three loops (D, anti-codon, and T loops). Further hydrogen bonds mediate the characteristic L-shaped molecular structure. tRNAs have two regions of fundamental functional importance: the anti-codon, which is responsible for specific mRNA codon recognition, and the 3' end, to which the tRNAs corresponding amino acid is attached (by aminoacyl-tRNA synthetases). tRNAs cope with the degeneracy of the genetic code in two manners: having more than one tRNA (with a specific anti-codon) for a particular amino acid; and 'wobble' base-pairing, i.e. permitting non-standard base-pairing at the 3rd anti-codon position. Lineage: Bacteria; Bacillati; Actinomycetota; Acidimicrobiia; Acidimicrobiales; Acidimicrobiaceae. The record is from RNAcentral.
UAGCUCAAUUUGGACAGAGCAUCUGACUACGGAUCAGAAGGUUGGGGGUUCGAGUCCCU